Limulus polyphemus (Atlantic horseshoe crab) is the source of this 417-nucleotide RNA transcript. It is a transcript of the gene named ORM1-like protein 1, with no coding region annotated. The record is from RefSeq and is a predicted model, not a curated record. Lineage: Eukaryota; Metazoa; Arthropoda; Merostomata; Xiphosura; Limulidae. The transcript is spliced from 3 exons.
AUAAGUUACUGCUACGUAGAAUGUGAGGAGGUAGUAAACGAGAAGUGCAUGAUAUCAAGGUGAAAUACUUUUGGAGUUUUCUGAAGGAAAAUGAUGCUUGGAGGAACUCCAGGGCCUACAAACCCUAACAGCUCCUGGCUAAGUAGCAAGGGAAUGUGGUUAACUUAUGGUGUUGGAAUCUUAGGACUACAUUUGGUAUUAUUAAGCUUUCCAUUCUUAAGUGUGGCUUGGGCAUGGACACUUACGAACGUCGUUCAUAACACGGGAAUGUUUAUUCUGCUCCACAUUAUUAAAGGAACACCCUGGGAACCCGGAGACCAAGGAAAGUCUUAUUUCUUAACUCACUGGGAACAGAUUGAUAAUGGAGAGCAGUUUACCAAAACCAAAAAGUUUUUAACUGUAGUUCCUAUCGUCUUG